AUUGAACGCUGGCGGCAGGCCUAACACAUGCAAGUCGAACGGUAACAGGAAGCAGCUUGCUGCUUCGCUGACGAGUGGCGGACGGGUGAGUAAUGUCUGGGAAGCUGCCUGAUGGAGGGGGAUAACUACUGGAAACGGUAGCUAAUACCGCAUAAUGUCGCAAGACCAAAGAGGGGGACCUUCGGGCCUCUUGCCAUCGGAUGUGCCCAGAUGGGAUUAGCUUGUUGGUGGGGUAACGGCUCACCAAGGCGACGAUCCCUAGCUGGUCUGAGAGGAUGACCAGCCACACUGGAACUGAGACACGGUCCAGACUCCUACGGGAGGCAGCAGUGGGGAAUAUUGCACAAUGGGCGCAAGCCUGAUGCAGCCACGCCGCGUGUAUGAAGAAGGCCUUCGGGUUGUAAAGUACUUUCAGCGGGGAGGAAGGGAGUAAAGUUAAUACCUUUGCUCAUUGACGUUACCCGCAGAAGAAGCACCGGCUAACUCCGUG
This 490-nucleotide ribosomal RNA is filed under the name uncultured bacterium. Its description in RNAcentral is "partial 16S ribosomal RNA". It matches the Rfam family "Bacterial small subunit ribosomal RNA", at positions 30 to 507 of the family's 1533-position model. The record is from RNAcentral.